GGGUAUAUAGCUCAGUGGUAGAGUGCAAGCUUAGCAUGCAUGAGGUCCUGGGUUCAAUCCCCAGUACCUCCA
RNAcentral lists this transfer RNA (72 nucleotides) under Camelus bactrianus (Bactrian camel). It matches the Rfam family "tRNA". Rfam says of the family: Transfer RNA (tRNA) molecules are approximately 80 nucleotides in length. Their secondary structure includes four short double-helical elements and three loops (D, anti-codon, and T loops). The record is from Rfam by way of RNAcentral. RNAcentral also lists the same sequence under 2 other names. Lineage: Eukaryota; Metazoa; Chordata; Mammalia; Artiodactyla; Camelidae.